Molecule: ribosomal RNA, 245 nt
Filed under: uncultured bacterium
Lineage: Bacteria
Description: partial 16S ribosomal RNA
Rfam family: Bacterial small subunit ribosomal RNA
Source: RNAcentral
UACGUAGGGUGCAGGCGUUAAUCGGAAUUACUGGGCGUAAAGGGUGCGCAGGCGGUUUUGCAAGUCAGGCGUGAAAUCCCCGAGCUUAACUUGGGAAUGGCGCUUGAGACUGCAAGGCUAGAGUGUGUCAGAGGGGGGUGGAAUUCCACGUGUAGCAGUGAAAUGCGUAGAGAUGUGGAGGAACACCAAUGGCGAAGGCAGCCCCCUGGGAUAACACUGACGCUCGGGCACGAAAGCGUGGGGAG